Bacteroidetes bacterium GWA2_32_17 is the source of this 35-nucleotide non-coding RNA. Lineage: Bacteria; Pseudomonadati; Bacteroidota. The record is from Rfam.
ACAGCAGUAGCCGAAAAGCUGAGAAAGAGUAGACA